Oreochromis aureus is the source of this 1113-nucleotide long non-coding RNA. RefSeq lists it as uncharacterized. The transcript is spliced from 3 exons. Lineage: Eukaryota; Metazoa; Chordata; Actinopteri; Cichliformes; Cichlidae. The record is from RefSeq and is a predicted model, not a curated record.
GGGUUAGGGCAGAUCAAGGAGUAGAAAACCUGGACAUUGCACAUUUCAUGUUUGCCACAAGAGGAACAGGGAGAGCGAGUUUCAUAUCUGAAAAGAGUGUCCACAAUCAGAGAGUAGAACGACUUUGGCGUGAUGUCUGCAGUCACUAGCAAGUACCAUGAUAUUCUUCACUCACUCAAGGAGGAUGGCCUGCUUGACAUUUUGGAUGUCAUUCAUCUCUUUGGUGUCCACUACAUCUUUGUCCCUUGAGUCUGAGCAGAUCUUGUCAUCUUUGUUGGAGGAUGGAAUAAUCAUCCCCUCAGGACAGAAGGAGGUCUCACUCCUGAACAGCUCUGGCGUAUGGGACAUCUACAAGAGCUGGACGAGGGUGAGAGACUUGAGGAGCUUCAGGAUCCAGGCAUCGACUGGGAGAGCGCUGUACUGCAAGAGGAAUCUAACAGCACAGUUGUGGUUCCUGAGGUUGAAUGCCCACUGGAUGAGGAAACCCUGGAGAGACUUCAGAGAACAAUUAAUCCUUUGGAACAUUCUGAGUCACACGGUCAUGACCUGUACAUACAAUUCUUGCAACACGUGUUUAACCAACAGUGACACUUAACAUGGACUUGAAAGUCAACACUCUUAAAAGUUCUCAAAUACUGGAUUUCUUUGCUAAAACAUUCAGAUUACAAGUAGACAAGCAAACAAAGCGCUUGCUUAUUAUCUAUCAACGUAGGACCCUAAACAAAGUUUUACCGAAAAAUGUAGAUCUAAGGACAAGAUGAGAACACUGAAAGUGUACAGAAAGUACUGCUAAAAUCCUCCCAAUUCUUUCAUCUUUGGGCUGAAGGAAGGACAACACUCGGUGUAUAAAUGCUCAGUCAACACUCUCUUUAUUCCAUACCAUUCUCAUUAUUCCAUACACACUUUAGCGCAAUACAUCCGGAUGGGAGAUGUGCCGAAGAGGGUCACAGCAGAUCUUGACGUGUCUGACCAUUUCUCACAUUCUUAUAGCUUCAGCCCCCCUCCAAAGUUAUAAAACCUAAACAUCCACAAUCUUUCUCUCUCUCAGUGAGCCUAUGUUAUGACCUUGGCUUCCUGUGCAGUAUGUUCUGUUCUUUUCUAAUCAGACAAAUA